UACGGAGGGGACUAGCGUUGUUCGGAAUUACUGGGCGUAAAGCGCACGUAGGCGGAUUUGUAAGUCAGGGGUGAAAUCCCGAGGCUCAACCUCGGAACUGCCUUUGAUACUGCAAAUCUCGAGUCCGGAAGAGGUGAGUGGAACUCCUAGUGUAGAGGUGGAAUUCGUAGAUAUUAGGAAGAACACCAGUGGCGAAGGCGGCUCACUGGUCCGGUACUGACGCUGAGGUGCGAAAGCGUGGGGAGCAAACAGG
RNAcentral lists this ribosomal RNA (253 nucleotides) under uncultured bacterium. RNAcentral's name for it is "partial 16S ribosomal RNA". It matches the Rfam family "Bacterial small subunit ribosomal RNA", at positions 524 to 776 of the family's 1533-position model. The record is from RNAcentral.